RNAcentral lists this long non-coding RNA (4811 nucleotides) under Mytilus galloprovincialis (Mediterranean mussel). The record is from RNAcentral. Lineage: Eukaryota; Metazoa; Mollusca; Bivalvia; Mytilida; Mytilidae.
UGUCUGUAAAAUGGUUCAUUAAUUUCAUGGUAAGUAAUCUAAGUAUUUUCUUUGUUAACAGAAUAAUGUAAGAAACAGACAUCAUCCAUAGACGUAGCUUUUUAUAUGCUUGUACUUAAUUCUACAUCGUUUGGUCAUAUAAGACCUUUGUUUAAUUAUUAUAAAAAUAAGUCAUAUCAUAUAAUUAAAUAUUACAACUUUCUUCCAUUUAUUCGACAAGUUGACAAACUUUAUGUGCUUAAAAAAACAGACAAUGGUAUUUUUAUUUAAACUCGAACGCAAUAAUACUUCCGUUGAUCUACGCUUGCAAGAUAUUAACUUUUUUGGUAUUUAUUUACCACCAGUCUCGACUUCAACUUCAUAUAUAUAGAUAAUUUGGUUAAUCUAUAUCAGUACAUAGAAAGUGCGAACCGAUAAAUCCGUUUCUUAUGUGGAGUAACUAUAUUUUCUUUUGUAAAUGAGGUGCAUUGUGGAGAAUUUUGGUCGACUGAUGAAAUUUGAAGGAAUAAAGGAACAUUUUUCGAAAAGUUUUUGUUUAUUCUUUUAAAAAACCAAAGACGUAUUCACAAGGACGAAUGUACAUACAACUUGUCAUGUAUUUUGAACAUUUUGUCUCAAGUGUGUUGUAUACACACAAGCAAAUAUGCAUUUGCAUUAAAUAAAACAUAUAUUUCAAACUAUCUAUAAUUUGAGAUGUUCAAAUCCUUUGACAACUAAAGAUAGUAGAAUCACCAUUGAACUGAUUGCAUUCUACGUCAUAAUCACCUGUAAUAGGAUAAUAAUAUUAGAAAAGCGAUACGCUUUUAUUAUACAAAAAAAAUUCUUUCUGAUUUUUGCUAAAAACAAAUGCGAACAUUUUUUCAUUUGAAAAAAAAUACGAUGAAAUGGCACAAAACAUUCAAACAAAGUAGAAGGAUCGACAAUUUUUAUGACAGGUUCGAUGAUAUAGGCAAAGUAUCACAGAAAUAUCGUAUAAUGAUGUGCGUAUAUAAUAUAACAAUUAUUAUAUGACAUACCAGCACCAGCAUAUGGAGUAUAUGUGUCUCAAUUGAUACGUUACUCUAGAGUUAGCUCAAAGUACGUUGAUUUUGUUGAACGAGGAAUACUGCUUAUUCGAAAGUUGCUAAGACAGGGCUAUCAAAUUAAGGUCAUCACGCAAGAAAUUUUACGGUCGCCAUCAUGAGCUGAUUGGCAAUCAUGGCAAAAGUGUGUCAGAAAUCAUAUCGAUACUCUUCCUCAGUCAUAAUUACCUUCCAUCAUACCUGAUUUCACUCCCAAUUUUCAGUGGAGUUUGUGUUGUUUCUUAAUUAUUAUUCACAGCUGUUGAUGUAAAUGUCCUUUGGUUUUGUGAGUUUUUGUUUACUCUUUGGUUUUAAUUGUUAUUGUCUUAAACGUUUAAAGUGAAGUAGACAUUAUGUUCAAUAUCCCUACCCGGCGAUAAAAAAAAGUCUUGGUAGUGUCACUCUAUAAUUAUAAAGUGUUGACACGGAUAUAUGUAUCACAUUUCAUGUCUAUAGUUAUUUUUAUAGAACUUUAAAUGCAAUUUUAAAUUAAAAUGAAAAUACUCGAUCAUGCAUUUAUUAUGCAACACACUUAACAUCAACUAAUCAUGACUUAAGUUGCAGGGUCAAAUAAUUUCCCUUGAAAUGAGAUCUCAGAGUGCUGUUACAAAUCUAUACAAAAUAUCAUUGAUGGUUAUCUUUAAACUGACACAAUAAAAAAAAAACUUUAAUUGUUAUCGAUUUCAAGCGUUUGCGAUCAAUGAACCGUCGUUUCGGGGUGACGCCUUAUAAUUUCCAUAACAAAAUGCCUAUGCUAUAUAAUACAAAUGCAUACAACAUAUCAAAUAACUCAUCGCUAGUAGUCCCCCUUUUAAAAAAAUAAUCUUAUCACAAAUUAAAAAAAUAUGUUAACGUUGCAGACGCCACCGGAAACAGCACGUCUCUAUUGCCGUUAUUUCAUAGAGGCGAGAAAAUAAAUAUCUUAACUAAUAUUUUUUACUGAAAUUCUUUAAUUGAUGUAACGUUAGUGAAACUUUAUCGAAUUAUGAAUUUCGAUUAAAAAAGGCUAGAACUGCUUUCGAUAGGUUAAAAUGUAUAGGAUAAAAACAUCAUGUAUACGUUUAGAUAUAGUCAUCUUCGCUAGCAAAGGGUUGCGACCCUCCCCCAGAUGGCAUAUAGUAAGUCUAUUGAAAAUGCAUUUUGGUGUGUUAAUAUAGAAAUUUAAUAGAUUCAUGUCGAUACCGAUAAUUUAAACGAAAAUUUGGGUCGGUCUUUCCUUUAAGACUAGAUCAUAUUCUACUCAAAUAAACAAUAUAACAAAAUAAAAGAAAUCCAAGGCAAAUUCAAAAUGGUUGUCUAAAAAAAAAAUCUAAAUUGAGAAUCAAUCUACGGAACAAAUGAAAAAAAUAUCUGCUAUGUAACUUUAAUCUAAAAAAAAGUGAUAUGUUUGAAAAACUAUUAGAGUUUCGAAAGAAGCCGCAAAAAUUCAGUUUAGCACUAGAUAAAAGGGUAAAACUGCUACAUCAUGUAAUAUGAAAAAUAAAGUUACAAUAAAAACACACCACAUCUACAUGACAAUAAGUAGCAUUUAAUUAUGUUUUUACAAAAGAAAACGUAGCAGUUUAAUUUUAAAAAGGAUACAAACUUUUGCAAUAAUUUUGCUAUCAAUCAUAUUGCUAAACUUAAUUAUCGUUUAUUUUUUAAUAAUAGGUUAACAGUUUAUAUGUUCAUAAUGAAAUUUUACUGUGUUGCUCGUAUAACUUGUCAAUUUGACUUUUUUCUUUGAAGGGGCGUUGGAAGGGCUGAAAAACGAUUUCGCACCCUAUUAAUAAACGAAACUCAACUGUUUGUCGUGUGAACUGAAAUCGAACUAAACGUAUUUGUAUAAAUUUUUUUUAGUGUCGGCAUAUUUACAAUUUCGUAUCAGAAUAUAUCGUGACUCCACAUAAGAAAUUGACCCCACUGUUGGGCCGUUGUUGGUAUUAUGUGCUCUGGUUGGGUAAGCGAAUCCUGCUCCACAUGUUUAACGCAUACGAUAAAUCAUUUACUAUGCGAGUAUUAGCAGUUUUCAUGUAUUCACAGGAACAUGGCCAGUAAUUGGAGUAAAUGUGGUGUCUGUGAUGAUCGUCAGGUUACCACGCCAUCAGUAGUCUGGUGUUCCGAAUGUGACAAAGGACUAUGCGUAGAUUGUAACGAACAUCACAGUGUUUCCAAGGCAUCAGGAAACCACGAAACCGUUUAUAUCGCCGACAACCAGAAGUUACCGACAGAAAUUCUCCAAAUCGCCCAGUUCUGCAAAAUUCAUAACGAGAAAUAUGAACUUUUCUGCAGAAAACACGACUGUCCAUGCUGCAAAAAAUGUGUGAAAACGCAUAACGACUGCAAAGAUUUAACCGACAUCAAAGAAAUCAUAUCAAACGUAAAAGCAUCAAGUGCCUUUUAUGAUAUCGAACAAACUAUAUUGGAACUGGCCGAGAAUGUAAGGCGAAUCCGUUCCAACCGAGAAGACAAUUUAAAAUCACUGAAAAUGGAGAGAGGACAAAUUGAAGCAGAAAUCGAACAAACCAGAAUAAAGUUAAAUAAUGAUCUAGAUAUACUUAAAGAUGAAGUAAUGAAAGAAUUAAUGACAGCUGAACAAACCGAAAGCAAGAAAAUACACAAGUUGCUGACUACUUUAAAGGCUAAGGAAACGCAGAUCACAAAAUACCAAUCAAACAUGUGUGAUAUUAAACAGCAUGCAUCCGAACUCCAAACCUUCUUGACCAUCAAACAUAUUGAAAAGGAUUUAAAGGUCGAAGAAAAAUUUAUUCGGUCGAUUACUGAAAGUUCCACCACUAAUCAGGUGAAUAUUAUAUCCCAAAUUAACAAGAACUUCAAGAAGUUUGCAAAAAUUGAUGUCUGGUAUCGUCCACGGAAUUUUACUAUUCAGACACGGAAGGACAGACAAGCCCAGAUUAUGGUAGCUCUUCCAGCUAGAAAUAUCGAUAACCUGACUCUGAGAUUACAGAAACGUAUCAAUAUAAAGUUGUCAGAUGUCUCUGGUUGUUCAAAGCUCCUAGAUGGAAGGAUGAUUUUCUCUUGCUAUGACCAAAAUAAGAUAAGCAUAUUCAAACCUGACGGUUCGAAAGAUUUUGACAUAAUUAGUAUCUGUUAUACGUUUGAUGUGGUAUUUAUUGGUGAUGAUUCUAUUGCUGUAACAUGCGGCGAUUCAAAAAAGAUUAAUGUAAUCGACUUAAAGAAGAAAAAACUGAAGAAAUCAAUAAAUAUAAAUUCACACAAUAGAGGAGUAGUAUAUAGAGACGGACAUUUGAUUUAUUGUGCCAGUGAUAAAGGACUACAGAUGAUCAAUCUACGUGAUGAAUCCAUUACCAAUGUUACCAAUAACAAAGUCUCAGGAAUAUCGUACGUUACAACAUUCGGUGACAAACUGUUCUACACAAACUAUAAAAACGACAGUGUAACCUGUUGUGAUUACCAUGGUAACAUACUGUGGACGUUCUGUGAUACACGUGUUCUGAGCUGUCCACUCGGUAUCACUGUAGACAAUGGCGGUAACGUGUUUGUAGUGGGACAUAUUUCUAAUAAUGUGGUCAUUAUCUCUUCCGAUGGACUACGCCACAGACAACUUUUAUCACGUGAAGAUGGACUGAAGGGACCACAGGUUCUGCACUAUGGCACUUCUACCAAUACAUUGUUAGUGGCAAAUGAAUGCAAUGAUGCAUUCUUGUAUGAAGUUAAAUUAUAAGCUUUGUUUUAAUUUUGAUUAUGUUCUUAAAAUUUUGUGUACAUUUAUAUGUAUAUAUGUAAAAG